AAAUGAAUUUUACUUUCCCAAAAAGUGCAUCACUUUUCCUAGUUUGCUUCCUAUGUUUCACCCAAUUUUCUUCCAUUUAUUGUGAGAAGAAAGUGUCCUUGGCUUUGUAUUAUGAAACUCUAUGUCCUGGUUGUUCUGAUUUCAUUAUUAAUUACUUACCUAAGAUAUUCAAGAAUGGGAUAAUUGAUAUUGUUGAUCUUAAACUUGUUCCAUGGGGUAAUACUAGGCUUCAAAAAGACAACACCUUCAAGUGCCAGGUUCUUCAAGAAUCUUUUUCUUUAUAUGUUAUUAUUAUUAUUAUUUUAAUAACUGUGAAGUUCGAAUCAGCUAGCAUGUAUUUAGAUUAGUUCUACGAGAUAUCUCUCAACAGUGGCUAAGCCAGGAUUGACACCAAGGAGUUCACAAGUGAAUAGAUGAACUAAUCGAAGGGGUUCGACAUCUACUGUAUAUACAUAAAAAAUAAUUUUAAUCAUGUAUAUAUAGUAUAAUUUUUCAUCAAAGGGGGUCGGAUGAACCCCUACCUUAUAUGCAGCUCUGCUCCUGUCUGUCAAUAUGUACCAGGUAAUUUUGUCUAGCAAGGCUGGCUAGAACAAAUAAGAAGAAAUGACCUGAUGUUUGUCUGGAAUUUAAUCCUGGGACCUCGUGAUGUUCAAGACAUUUUAUAUAUAGCAUGUAAAUCGAUUCAAGUUUAUGGAUUCAUAUUUACUAUUCCUUGCAAUCCUACUAAAAUUUAACACAUAAAAAAUGAUUUAAUUGUUUCUCCUAUCUUUUGUAGUUUUUAGAGACUUUGAUUACUAUUUGUUAUUUUCUUUGCAGUUUAGAGAUUUUGAUUAUGCUAUGUUGAUAACAAGACUUUGAUUAUUUUCUUCAAUAGUCGAUUACUUUCUGAUGUUGACAUUCUGAUUAUUUUUACAAAUGUCUUGUUACAUUUUUUCAGUUGUAUUUGCUUUUUUAGCAUUCUCAAUUCUGAACUUUCAACUUUUAGUUUUUUCUUAACAUAUUUUUAAUUUAUUUUUAAAUUAUUAUUUUUAUCUUUUAUUUCUGUUUAGGUUUUUUGUGAAAAGUCUUAAAUUGGAAGGUAAGCUGCAUAAGAUAUAUAUUUUCCCAUAAGCAAUUUAUACACAAUAAGAAAAAAUUAUACACAAUAUAAAAGUAGGCUAAAAGGAAAUUUUUAUUGAGAAAAAUGCUAAAUUUGUUAUUUGAUAAGAAGUAACAUCAUGAUAAUGAAUUCUCAUAAUCCUUAGAAAUUGAACAUAUUUAUUUAGUGGUAUUCUAAUUCACUUUAUUCAUUAUUAAGAGAUGUGAUAUUUAUAUUUAAUUUGGUAUAUAGUAAUUAUCUUUUAUCAUUCUUUAUUUUCAUUUUUUUUUUAAAUGAAGUAACUUAUUUUUCAUUCGUGGAUAGAGUAGUUUGAAUCAUUAUAAUUGUCAAGUGUCAAUUGAUAAUAAUGCAUGAAAAGAACUAUAAAUAACUUUUCUAAUGGAUUGAAAUAAUAUUCAAUCAAUAUUUAUUGAUCAUGUGGAUGUUUGAAAUAAAAUAUUAUUUCGAAUGAUUAUUGACAUAAUUAAUUUGAAUCAUAUAUGAUUAUCUAAGAGUUAAAGGACAUGUUAAUUAUAUUCAAUCAAUUUUUGAGCAUUAAUUUUUAAUUUUUAUCUUUUUUCCUUGAACAAAAGUUAUUUUACAUCUUUUCUCUUACUGAAAAAAUCGAUAAGUGCAUGUGAGAAUUACUAUGAAACUAUUUAUCGAAUGAUUCAAAAUCAAAAGCCAAAAACUUUUAUCUUAUAUUUUUUAUUCUAUAUUCUUUUGUGACCGCGUGAAGUACAGAUAAAUUUAUUGAGUUUUAAAUACUUCCUCCUUUUGUUUUUACUCACCACCUUUCGACAUGACACAUUCAUUAAAAAAAUAAUUAUUAUUGUACCGAGUUUACAAUAGUACCUCUAUUAAUUUAUAUUCAUUACUAAUUUAUAUUUAGUAAUAGGUAAUGAAAAAUAAUUUGGAAGAUAAGUAAUUAAUACUAACGGUAAUAUGAUUUUUUUUCUUAAUUUGUUAAAAAUAUCAAAAAAAUAAAAAUUAAAUUAAAAAAAUGAUAAAUAAAUUGAAACGAAGAGUGUAGUAGAUGGAUGAAUCAAUCAUUAAUCAUAUCAUUGGUGUGUUUCGUAGUUUAAGUUAAGAAGCAACUUAUGCAUUUUCCAUUAAAAAAAAGGAAUCUUAGCACUAUCCAUCAAAUCGUGAAAUUCGGAAUCAAAAUAAGUCAAAAUAUGAAUAAAGUAAUUAAAAUAUGUUAUUUCUUUAAUUAAUUAUUAAAAUAAGUUAAAUAUAAUAAUUUAUGAUAUUUUAUCUUAGUAUUUUAACGUUGAUUUGAUGGAAGUGAACAAUAAUUUUUUUUUUGCAAAACGUAAGAAUUUAUAACGUUUUACAAAAAAGAUAAAAAAGAAAAAAAUAAUGUGUUGUCAAAUCAACAACUUUAUAUCAAAUCUUGUAAAUUAUAAUAAAUUCUUACUCACUCUAUUCCAUUUUAUGUGUCGCCAUUUAAUUGGGCAUGAGGUUUAAGAAAUAAGGGAAGACUUGAUAAAGUUUACCAAAUUAUCCUUUAUUAAAAAGUGUGUCAAUUUUAUUUUUUUUUAUUAAGUGAGACCAAUAAGGAUAAAGGGUAAUUGUGCCUUUAAAAAGUUGUCAAAUAAGGAAAGGUGACACUUAUUUUGGGACGGAUUAAAAAGGAAAUGAUGCCACAUAAUUUGAGACGGAGGGAGUAUAAUUUAUAACUCGUAAUAAUUUAUACCCAUAAAUAUAUAAAGUAUUAUAUUUAUAAUAGAAAUAUACAAAGUAUGUUAUAUAUAAAGUUUAUACCAUGUAUAUACCAUAUACACACAUAUAUAAAUAUACAAAGUAUUAAGAAACAUACUAAACAUAUUUAUAAUAUAAAUAUACAAAGUAUGUUAUAGAUGAAGUUUAUAUCAAGUAUAUACCAUAUACACGCAUAUAUAAAAAUAUAAAGUAUAAAGAAACAUACUAAGCAUAUUUAUAUAUUUAUGGUAUAUGAUAUAAUAUACCAUAAAUAUGCAAAGCAUGUUUUACAUAGAAAUAAUUUAUUCACACAUAGUAAAAUCUUUCAUGUAUAAGAAAAUUAUAGAAAUAAAUUAGCGGCAUCCUAAAAUUUGAUAACAACUCAUCAUUUCCUAUUUUUUAGGAACGGAAAAUGAAGGAAAUAAAUUAAAUAAAUUCCUAAAAAACUAAAUUUGUUUGAAAGAUAAUAUUUGUUACCUUAAAAACAAGAAACAGUGAUCUGUUAAUAUAACAUUCAUAUUUAAAAUUUUCAAAUAUGAGAAAACGACUAUUAGUAUAAAUAUUAUAUAUGUCAUAAUUGAAAUUCAUUAAAUAUGACCAUGUAUAUGUAAUUAUUUUUAUAAUAGUGAUUAAUUGUGUUCUUUUUUCAUUGGUAGGUAAAUUUUAAUUGGGUGAUUUUGAUAGUUUAUAAAAGUUAGGGCAUAAAAUCAUAUUUUAAAAAGUUUUUUCGAAAAUCGAUUUUUUUUUUUAAAAAAGACAUGGCCAAACACAACUCCAACUCCAAUUCCGAAAAAUUUUAGUUUUCAUGGCCAAACGACUACUUAAUAACACCAUUCAUUCUUGGAUUCCAUAAAAAACAUCAUUACGAACAAAUAUUAAGGUAAGAAAAACUUUUGACAAAAUGAAGCAGUAAUUUUUUCUUUUUAGUUUUUUUUGUUAAAAACAAAAUAAAUUGUUACAAUUUAUAAAUUGUAAUAUUAUAACAAUUUAUUACAAUUUAUAAGAUUUGACCUAAAACUAUUGAUUUGACAAUACUGUUUUUUUUUUUUCUAUAAAACGUAAGAAUUUCUUAUAUGUUUUAUAAGAUAUUAUAAAACACAAGAAAUUCUUAUAUUUUUUUAAAAAAAUUAUACCGUUCAAUUUCGUUAAAUCACUAUUAAAUAUUAAGAUAACGUAUUAAAUUAUUACAUUUAGCCUAUUUUGAUAAUUAACUAAAGAGAUGAUUUAUUUUUAUCACUUUAUUUAUAUUUUGGCUGACUUUAGUUUCAAGUUCUCAAAUCACGCUUGUUAUUAAAGAUUCAUACAUUCAUCCAAUAAUGAAUCUUACCAACCAGACUGGCUAUGCAUUUGGACUUGGUGUAAAUAUUUCCAACUUUGAUGUCCCUAUCUCAUACUAUUUUCAAAGAUUAUCCAAUUUAUGAUUUUUUUUUUUUAUAUAUGUAAUAUUCUCUUUACAUUCUUAAUGUUAAAUAAGUACUGAAAUUAAGAGCCUGUCAAAAAUAAUUUUUCUAUUUUAUUUGAGAUAGUAAUAUAAAUUAUGUAUAUUUUACCUUCCUAAAUUCCACUCGAUGAGAAUACAUCAGAUAUGUCAUUUUUGUUGGUGUUGUAUUCUUAAUUUUUAAUUCUUAAUGUUAUAUAACAACAUAAAUUAAUAGGUUAAUUACCAAAAAAAAUAUAAAUAGUAAAUAUACAUUGUAAUUUUGUGAUAAAAAAUGCAUUACUUUUUUAUUGCCCAAAAUUUAAGUUUAACCAUAAAAUGAAAAAUUACUUUUUUUCGUAUAACAUUGUAUGUAUAUAUAUGUGUGUAUAUAUAUAUAUAUAUAUACUGUUGUAUAUUCAAUAACAAUCUUUUUAUUGUAUUGCAUAAAGUCAUAUGUAUAAUUAUUAAUAGUAUACAUAAUUAUAUAAAUAUAUACAUAUGUAUAUAAAAUGUUUAAAUAUUGUAUCUAUAUUGUAUAAAUUAGGGUAUAUAUCGAUCGGUUCGAUUCAAUUUUAUAUAUUAUCGAUUUCAAUUUUUAAAUAUGUUAAAUCAAUAAUCAAACUAAUAGGAUAUUUUUUAUCGAUUUUUGAUUUAUCAAUUUUUAGUCUUUAUUAAUUUGGCUUAGUCAAUAAAAAAAUACUCAUAAAAUAGAAAUAUAAAUAAAAAAAUAUUUAUUUAGAUAUUCCUUGAAUUCAGUUAUCUUUACUCAUCAUUCAUCAUUUCAGUCCACUUGCUCUGUCCCGGCUGGAAUCCCAAGAACCAACAAGGAAAAAAACAAAUUACAAAUAAAUAAUAAAAGAUCCCAAAUUCAAUCUUGUUAAAAAAAAAAGAAGGUCCCCCACAAAAUAAAAAAUAAAAAAAGUCCCAAAAUAAAAUAAAGGACUAUUUUAUUUAUGAAAGUUCAAUUUUAGAAUUUUGAAACAUCAAACCUUAACAAUGACUUUAAAAAAAUUCAUGCUGAAACUUCAAAGGAUCAUUUGGUGUGAGGAUUAUAAGAGAUAACAAAUCUCAAAAUAAAAUAAAGGACUAUUUUAUUUCAUGUUUGACAUAAAGUAUUAGUUAAUAUCAAAAUUAUUUAUCUCAUCAUUUACACUAUAGUAAUAAAAUAAAUUAUCCAUCUAUAUAAUAAAAUAACUAAUUUUAAAAUAAUUAAUAUCAAAAUUAAUAAUUUUAAAAUAAUUCUUUCCCAAUCAAAGUAUCAUUUAUCAUUCUCUUGUUGGCUCCUCUCACUUCAUUCCACAUAGUCUGUCCUGGUUAGUAUCCCAAGAACCAACAAAGAUAAAAAAAAUAAAAAUAAAUUAUAAAUAAAUACUAAUAAAAGAUCCCUAAUUCAAUCUUGUAGAAAAAAAAAAAAGUACCCCACAAAAUAAAAAAACAAAAAAGUCUCCCAAUUUCCAUUAUCCAAAAAUGAAUAGUGUAUCAUUUUCUCUAGUUUGCUUUCUAUGUUUCACCCAAUUUUCUUCCAUUUCUUGUGAGAAGAAAGUGUACUUGGCUUUGUAUUAUGAAAGCUUGUGUCCUUACUGUUCAAAUUUCAUUGUUAAUUAUUUACCUAACAUAUUCAAGAAUGGGUUGAUUGAUAUUGUUGAUCUUAAACUUGUUCCAUGGGGUAAUACUAAGCUUCUAGAAAACAACACCUUUACAUGCCAGGUUCUUCAAGAAUCUUUUUUUCUAUGUAUUAUUAUUGUUAUUUUUUUACUAACUGUGUUGUUUGAGUCAGUUUGUGUGUAUUUAGACUAGUUCCAGUGCCAGGUUCUUCAAGAAUCUUUUUUUCUAUGUAUUAUUAUUAUUUUUGUAAUAACUGUGAUGUUCAGACCAACUUCUAUGCAUUUCGACUAGUUCCACGAGAUAUCUGUCAAUAGGUAUCAGGUAUCUUUGUCCAUCAAGACUGGCUAGAACAAAAAAUAACAAGAAAGCACUUGAUGUUUGUCUGGGAUUUGAUCUUGAGACCUCAUGAUGUUCAAGCCACCUUAUAUAUAGCAUGUAGAUCUAAGAUUUAAGUUUUAUGGAUUCAAUCUUAAAAUUAUGCAAAGGGUAGCGUUGGAGUAACUGGUAAAGUUGCUGCCAUGUGACUAGGAGGUCACGGGGUCAAGCUUUGAAAACAACCUCUGGGAGAAAUGCAAGGUAAGAUUGCGUUCAGUGCAUCCUUGUAGUGAGACCCUUCCCCGGAUCCUGUGGAUAGUGGGAGCUUUAGUGCACUGGGCUGUCCUUUUAAUCUUAAAAUUAUGAAAUUCAUAUUUACUACUAAAAAAAACUGUGUUCAUGAGUGUCUAUCAGGAUCCUGUGGAUAGUGGGAGCUUUAGUGCACUGGGCUGUCCUUUUAAUCUUAAAAUUAUGAAAUUCAUAUUUACUACUAAAAUAAACUGUGUUCAUGAGUGUCUAUCAGAAACAGUCUCUCUAAUUCCGGUGUAUCCCGUCCAGACCCCACUUGUGGGAUUACACCGGGUAUAUUGUUGUUGUUGAUGAUGAAAGUACGUGUUCAUGAGCUGAAGGUCUAUCCGAAUAGCGUCUCUACCUCACAAAGAUAACGUAAGGUGUUCGUACACUCUACUCUCCUAGAUCCCACUUGUGGGGUUAUAUUGAGUGUGUUGUUGAUGAUGAUGGUGGAAGUACUGUGUUCUGAUGAACCCGGUAAUCAAAAGUUGUAGUUACCCUUAGCUGAGGUUAUGUUAGCGUUAAAACUGCUAAUAGAAGAUGGAAAUAACUAGUUAAAGUAAGCAAAAAGGGAUAACGAACAACAACAUACCUAGUAUAUUCCCAUAAAAUGGGGUCUGGGGAGGGUUAGUGUACGCAUUCCAUACCACUACCAUAGAGGUGAGACAAAGAGGCUAGACAAAAACAGUCUGGAAAAAAUAGUAAAGGAACAAGAAACAAUAGGUAUGAACACGCCAAAUAAUAACAUAAACAAGACUAUUACCAAGUAAUACGACAAACGAUAACACACUCUGAAACAAGACUAGCACUAUGGCCACUAGCACGGAUAACAAAACGAAGUCCUACCUACUAGCAGGGACGCACUCCUUCUUUAAUCCGCAUCCUCCACAUCUUCCUAUCUAGGAUCAUGUCCUCGGUAAGCUGAAGUUGCUCCAUGUCAUGUCUAAUCAUCUCCCUCCAAUGUUUCUUUUAUCUCUUCCUCGUCUGAAACCAUCCCUAGCGAGGAUUUCAAUCUUUACAAAAUAUAAAUGCACUAUAGGAAAGAACCUCAAUCUGAGUUAAGCGGAUCCAAAAUUUGUACUUGAUUGAUUUUUUGGUUGAGUUCAUACUAUCAAACCCGUUUUCACUUUUUAAAACUACGGGUUCAAAACCUAAUAGUUUUUUGAAGUUUUAAUAACUUUGCACAUUCCAAAAUAAUGGGUUUAGUUGAACACAGUAAACUAGGCUCCAGCCACCUCAGAGUUUAGAGUGUGAUAUUUAAAAGACAUACUCAGUGUCAUCUCACAAGUGGUGUUUGGGAGGGUAGUGUGUACGCAACCUUACUCUUGCCUAGUGAAGGUAGAGAGAUUGUUUCCGGUAGACCUUAGGUAAAACAUAACAACAAUCAGUGAGAGAAAGAAUACAGUAGUCCAGGGGCCAUGCAAAAAAUAGUGGGGAAAAGAACAGUAACAACAAAUAACAAUGAUAACGGAAACAAAGCAAACAAUUUUAACAUGUGCAAAAUUGUAUUUUAAGAAGGAGAGCCUUGGAGUGCUGCCAUGUGACCGGGAGGUCACGGGUUCAAGCCUAGGAAACAACUUCUGCAAGGUAAGAGUGCAUACAAUAGAUCGUUGUGAUUGGGCCCUUCUCAGAGCCUUGCGCAUAGCGUGAGAUUUUAGUGCACUGGGCUGCCACUUUUGUCUUUCAGGAACAAUCUCUCUACCUCCCCGAGGUAGUGGUAAAGUCUGCGUGCACUUUACCUUCCCAUCUCACUUGUGGGAUUUUACUGGGUAUGUUGUUGAUGUUAUUUUUGUUGUUGCAAAAUUUAUUUCAAAAGAUCAAGAAAUGAAUGCUUGAGCUCACACAGAAAAUAGAUAUUUUAGCUCUCCUACUCUAAAUUUCAGCAUUAUUUGCGAUAGGGAGAGUAUUACAAGUCACAAGGCUCAAAUUUAAAUUUUAAAGUGUGAUGUUAUACAUUUUUAAAUGUUUUUGUGUAUGUAUUGGUUGAACAAAAAAGAAGUGAGUUCAAUUGAACCAAUCGAAAAGGAUUAGAUCUGUUUCUGGGAUAUUAUUUGGCUAAUUAAUUUAUGUUGUGCUUCUUAUGUAUAAGAAUAGCAUCAAGCACUCUUAGGAGAUUUAUGAAAUUCUCUUGUUGUCGCAGCAUGGAAAAGAUGAAUGUUUUCUGGACGUUGUAGAGGCGUGUGCAAUUAAUGCCUGGCCAGAUUUGGUAAGCUUCUAAUCAAAGUUGAGCAUUUUUUUUGGUAAUUCUAGUUUGUCGGUUGUAAAGCUUAAAGGCAUCACUAUUCAAUUCAUUUGAAGCACGUUCAUUUUGAUGUAUACAAAGAAAUAGUCCCUGCAUUAUCAAUCUACGUGUUACUAAUUCGUACAUUACUAAUACUUGCAUAACUUGGUCGAACUCUCCAAAAAUUUUACCGCACCCAUGUCGGAUUCUCCAAAAAUGCACUACUUUUGGAGUAUCCAACAUGCAACCGUCAGACUUUUUUGAAUCUGAGCAACAUAGGUUGAAACAAACAACCCCCUAAAAGAUAUAUGUGUUGUAUUUGGGAGUUAUUUGAUAAAUGAUUGGUAGCAUGUUACUUUUAUAUCUCUCCGAGGAGACUAUUCUAAAUUCUAGUUGCAUUUUUAUUGGGUCUUCGUUGCAGAAUGGACACUUUCCUUUCAUUUACUGUGUCGAAAGUCUGGUCUAUCAUAGGAACUAUACCCAGUGGGAAACAUGUUUUGAAAAGCUGAAUUUGAAGAAAAAGCCAGUUACCGAAUGUGUUGGCAGUGAGCGAGGGAAAGAUGUUAGUUCUCUGGGUAUUAUUUCUGAAUUACGUUGCUGUAAAGAUUCGCUUUGGGUUUAAAUAAAUUUAGUAUCUAUUUGGAAUGUAUGAUUUCACAUCAUAAUGUGCAAAAAAAAAAAAAGAACUUUUGUUUUCCAUUGUUGUGUUAUAUGCUUAAUCUAUAUAUGUUGAACAUAUGAAUAUGAAGAAGAGGAAUUUCUUUAAGUUGACUAUUGUCUGCUCGCUUUAUGCAUCCAUGUAUAUAGAAGUAAUUGAAUGUAUUCCUCACGAAAUUAAAUUUAAGUAGACAGUGAAAAAAAUAAAGUAAAAAGAAAGCGAAAUAUUCUCUGUUAUGUGUUGCUUCAUUAUCAUAAUAGUUAUAGUUCCACCUUUAUGGAUAUAUCUCCUCUUUCUUCCUCUUGGAUAUAUCCUUAAAUGUGUUCGAAAAAAUAGCACAUAAAAAUACUAUUCGCGAGAAAUUACGUGAAUAAAAAACGGACAUACAACGAGAAUAAAAAAGAGAAACAACAACACUGAGACUCAGACGUGGAAACUUAUUCUCAAUAAAGAAACAAUCAUGGUUUGGAAGGAUCAGACAUUUCAAGAGACGAGCAGUCCCUUGAGGUAGCUCUCCGGUAUAUGGAAUAUCCGGUUUACAGUUCCAAAUGUUCUGUUUCGGGAUUUUCAAGAAACCUGCUGAUGUGCUGAUAGCAUCGAUUGCGUGAGCAAUGUCAUCUUUGUUACAAACUGUUGCAUAAUAGAACUCCCGAUGGGAAAGGAAUAAGGAAUUCCGCCCAUGCUAUACCUUUCUUUCCAUUGUUGUAAGACACAUCUUCUUGCUCAACUUUGUUUGACUAGCAAAGAGGCGUGCAGAUUGACAUAGCAUUAUUCAUGUUAAAGCAUUCAAGAACAUGUUCGAUGUACUUCUUUCUCAAACAAUCCUGUGUCUAGAAUUUGUUGUGCCAUGCCCAACCCAGUCCUCCAUGUCAAAUGACUUGGACAACACUCCCGUCAACUUGAUCAACUUCUUGUCUUGUCGUAUAAUAAUUUUCUCAUCCACAUGAAACGGAAUGACAAAGUUGUUUUCGAAAAUAACAAACGAGACUUUUUUUUUUGUGGGGAUCUCUCGUCUCUUUUUGCACGUUUUUAUCCAAUUUUGAAUUAGACGAAACCUUCUUAAGAUUUUUUUGGCUCCUCCCAUCACUAACGAGGACAUACUUGAGUAAGUAUACUUGGAUGAUUUUAUUCGUUGCCUUUUUGAUUUCCUCAGAGGCUGCUCUACUUCUUGAGUAGGAUGAGGUUGUUCUUUUUCUUCUGGAGUAGGAUGCUUGACUUGCUCGGCAUUAUCAUCGAGUGGCGUCCCUUCCUCAACAUCUUCAUCAGGGCGCUCUUUUUCUCAGCAACCUCGUCUACUCUUAGCUCUAGUGCUUUCUCUGCCUACAGUAUGGUCAGAAGUAGAAGUAAUGUAAUAAGAUUAUGACCUAUUUUUUUCUGGAAAUCGCCCACUGGUUAUUAUAAGUUACACAUCAUUUUCUCGGAACAGUAUAUCUCUGCUUCUGAUGACUCUUCUUUUCAGGAUCUCACAAUAUGUAACCGAUGAAUAUUUAAGAAGUGACUUUUUCAUCCUACUUCAUUCGUUGCUCCUGCAGUUCAUUUUGGAAGCUUUCACAAGAACUUCUUUAGCUUGGGAGUAGUACAUUCGUCUAAACUUUCUCCGGGAUAGCUAAACCCAGUGAAAUUGCUAGACUUCUGUUGAUCAAGUAAAGGUUGUCUGAUGAAGUCUGAACUGCUUCAUCCGAUAAUGACUUGGGCAGUUUAACCAUUUUGAGCAUGCUUCUCACCUUCUCAAUCAUGACACAUGCAAUUCAUCCUUUUAGUUACACCAUCGUGUUAUGGGGUUCCGGGAACUGUUUUUUCAUGUGUGACCCCAUGGCUUGAAUAAUACUUAUCAAAUUCCCUUGAAAUGUAGUCAUCUCUGUUGUCAGGUUAGCGACACGUUAAUGUUCAAUUAUACCUAGUUUUUUGUUCUCAAGAAAUAAACCCCAAUUUUCGUGAAGCAUCAUCAAUAAAAUUAUCAAAAUAUCUUUUAUGACCCAUUGGUUCUAUCUCAAUUAGACCAAAAACAUCCAAAUAUAAUCAAGUUUAUUCAAGUUUUUUUUCCGGUAAAUUCAUUCCAACAUAGUGGAGGGCAAUUCUUGUCGAAGUUGGCAGAGACCAUAUGAGAUGGGUGCAAGAACCAUCUUGCAAAUCGAAAGUGGAAAGUCACCAAGGACCACUUGCACUGUUUUGAGUCUUUGAGAUUAGUUGAGACCGGAGACGAUUUAAGUUACUCAUAUGUGCUGUUUGAGAUUAAUGAAAUUGUGUAGAAUAGCUCAGAAAGCUAGUCCUAGCAUCCAUUUGUUUUGGCUUGAAUUCCACCAACAGAAAAUCAUUAUCCUCGGAGCUUAUGGGAAGCAAAUUUGAUUUAUUAAGAGCUUUGGUGGAACAAAUUUUAUUUGCUAUGAUGAUUUUUUUCUUAAAAACAUCUUAUUAUCUGCGAAUUAAUGUUACUUGAUCUUAUGUGCAGCUCGAACUACAUUACGCAGCUGAGACAAAUGCCCUUCAGCCUCCACAUAAAUAUGUACCGUGGGUUGUCGUUGAUGGCCAACCACUUUAUGAAGUCAGUUUCUUUCUCCUCUUUAUUUCAGAACUUGCACUGUUCAUUAUCUAGUGUUAUAGUCCUUUCCUAGCUGUUUGUCAACUUAUGUUUUCGAAUUCAUUUCCUGCAUGCACAUCGACAACAAACCCCUUCCCCUAGAGUUGGAGCCCCGUGGAAGGGUAGGGGGUACACGUGCAUCUGUCAACUUCGGAAAAAAAUCAUGUAUAUAUGCGUAUGUAUACCUAACCAAGGAUCAUAUAUUUUGUUUGGCACCCUUUAGCACAAAUUUGGUGCAGUAGUUCAACUAGCAUCAUAGUUUUUGCAUUUUUCUCGUCAUUUUUUUCAAAAAAUGCAUAUAUGGGGUGAGUUUCAUCCUGGGCACCUCAAUGUGUAAAGUGAUACCAGAACUAUCAUACCAUACGUUAUUAUCUUGUUUGAUUUAUAUUUGUCCGGUAAAUUUGGUUUUAUGUUUGUUUAACACCGUUUCCAACGAAGCAGUGUCGGUGUCUUCGACUACAUGCAUCCCCUCUGGUGGUGCCUCUGUCGUCUUCAAAUCCCGAUUCCGCCUCUGCUUCCUCCGCACCCCCACCCCCAACCAGUGGCGGAGCCAAGAAGUUCAUUAAGGGGUUCGAAAGUGCACACAAGAACUAGCCGAAGGGGGUUCAACAUAUACAAUAUAUACAUAAAAAAUAAUUUUAACCAUGUAUAAAUAGUAUAAUUUUUCACCGAAGGGGGUUCGGCCCCCUUGAUAUAUGCUAGAUCCGCCACUGCCCCCAACCCCCACCUGCAUUUUCCCUGAAAAUUAUUUCAUUAUAAUAUGAGAGUUGCCAGCAUAUUCACCUUAAGGAGUGGACUUCAUCCUUCCGGGCUGAUUUAGAGUUUUUUACCUCUAAAAUUGCUUUGGCUCUCAACAGUUCCUCAAAGUCUUUCCUAUAUCUACCUCCUUUCCAAGUUUUUGUUUUGUACAAUUUUUAACUGGAAAAGGGACAAAUAUGCCCCCGAAUUAUGAUAAAUGGUACGUAUGUACCCUGCUCAUACUUUAGGUACAUAUAUGCCCCUACUGUUUGUGUGAGAGACAUAUACAUAACAUUUCAUUAAUGGUAGGGGCAUAUGCGUACCCAAAGUAUGACGGAGGUUAUAUACAUACCAUUUACCUUAGUUCGGGAGUAAAUUUAUCCCUUUUCCGACUUUUAACUGAUGUAAAUGGCUAAAUGCCCUCUAACGCAAGGGGGUAAUUAGAAGUUCCAUAAUCGAUUUCCCCAAUCAAGAAGAAUGGAGUAACUUAGAAGUCACCAGUUACGUUUUGCUGUAUGUAUAUUCUCCUCUCUAACAAUGUAUUUCAUUAACGGUAGGGGCAUAUGUGUACCCAAAGUAUGACGGAAGUUAUCAUAGUUCAGAGGUAUAUUUGUCCCUUUUCUGACUUUUAACCGGCGUAAAUGCCCUCUAACGCAAGGGGGUAAUUAGAAGUUCAAUAAUCGAUGGCCCGGAUCAAGAAGAAUGGAGUAACUUAGAAGUCACCAGUUACGUUUUGCUGUAUGAAUAUUCUCCUCUCUGACAAUGUAUUUCAUCGUUGCAGGACUACGAGGACUUCAUAAGCUACAUCUGCAAAGCGUACAAAGGAACUACUCCAGUCCCCGGUUGCAGCUCAUCCAUCAAUGUCAUUAAAAUGGGAAGGAAACUUAACUCUUUUUGCUUAAAGCAGACGGCCAUUUCCAAGUUGUCAACUAUAAGUUCAGCUAUUACAUCUUGGUUGAACCGCGCUAAGCUCACUGCAUCUGCAUAAUCCACCGGGAUGCUGUAUCGUGUUGUGUAUACUAUAGACCUCCCUCCUUGAUGCUGCUUUGUUUUAUGAAAUGAUGAGAUGCUAUAGUUGGUUUAUGCAUUUGUAAUGCAGUUGUUAAUGAUAGGAAUUGUUGUAAUAUGAGAAUUUGGUUCAAUUUGGGAUAUGUUUGAAGUAUGGAGUUUUAUAAGUUGUCUACAUCAAAGCAGCCACAUCCUUAGUCCAAGACUUAAAUUGAGUCGUUUCAGAAUGGAUGAGAUCUUAUUUUAUGCGCAUGCGUUUUGAUCCCCCUUUUUUUUGCAUGGCUGCACACACUUCAAAUCGAAGGUGAUGGAUUCAGUUGAACUUAGGAAACAGGCUUUAAAUUCGGCAAUUGACUAUGACUGGCAAUAUGAUUGGUUUGGGUGUGUGUGUGUGGGGUGGGGAGGAAGGGGGUUGAUAAUUUGGUUCAAUUUGGGAUAUAUGUUGGAAGUAUGGAGUUUUAUAAGUUGUCUACAUCAAAGUAGUCACGUCUCGAGUCCAAGGCUUAAAUUCAGCCGAUUCAGAAUGAGUGUGAUCUUAUUUUAUGCACAUGCAUUUUGAUCCCCUUUUCUUGCAUGGCAGCAGAUAGUUCAAAUCGAAGGUGAUGGAUUCAGUUGAGCUUAGAAAAUGGGCUACCAAUUCCUUGAUAUAAGCUAUAGUUUCACUGUAGUUUGUAUGAGUUCAGUUGUCCGGAUUCUUUAAAGGUAUUAUCAAUGCGUGUUAAAUCUUUUAAAGUAAUACAUUUUUUGAAGAUUUAAUAUGGGUUCGACAAUAUUUUUGAGGAAUUUAAACAUGUGAUUUGAGUGUAAGAUUACAAAUUGAUAGCCAAAAAAAGGGAGAAAAUAUGCCCUUUUUGCCCCUAUAUUGAGUUUUUAUAACUAUAUUUAUGUAUGUUAAUGAUAUGAGGCCUUUUGGCGCAGUUGUAUGAAUUUGGUUUAAAGCAUACAAUAUUACAUCAAGACUAUGUUUCGAUUGACUUAUAUUAGGUGUUUUUAUUCGAAAUUGUUAUAAAUAUAUUUACAUUAUACUAACUAUAUAAAUAAGAUCUAAUAAAAUCUAGUUGAUAUUUAUAUCUAUAUCUAGUUGAUAUCUAUCAGGAUUUGAAGUAUCUGUAACAAUCUAAUAAGAUCUAUCAAGAUCUAGUUGAUAUCUAUGAAUAUUUCAUCUGUCUUUUAGUCAGAAAAACUAGUAAGAUCUAUCAAGACCUAAUUGAUAUCUAUCAGUAUUUGAAGUAUUGUCUUUUAGUCAGAAAAACUAAUAAGAUCUAAUUGAUAUCUAUCAGUAUUUGAAGUAUUGUCUUUUAGUCAGAAAAACUAGAGGUAAAUUUUCCCUAUAAAUAGAAAGAAGUAUCUGUUUUUUAGUCAGAAAAACUAGGAGUAAAUUUUCCCUGUAAAUAGAAGGAAAGGAAGGACUUUCAUUGUAAAUCAUUCGCAAGGAUGUCAAUAGAAUGCGUCAGAAUUUUCUACUCUUCUUCCUUAUUCUUUAUUUUAUAUUUUAUAUCACGUUAGUCUCUAAUCAAUUGAGAAAUUAAUCACUAGCUGCACGAGUCUCUAAUCAAUUGAGAAAUUAAUCACUAGCCGCCACCGAAUGCUUUCCGUCUACUGCGGGCUCCAAAGAGGUAAAGCACAAAAUUAAGUAAGCUUUAAUAAAUUAGGCUAAGGAAAAGUCGUGUUGUCGGCUACUUGAGGUUCCUAUGUUAAGGGAACAUGUUUCUAAGUUGCAUUCUUAUUUCUGUCAACCUAAACAACUAUGUUUAACAAACUAUGAAAAUUUUAAAUUGAUUAUACCAAAUUUUCUAAGAGCUUUGUUUCCACCUGCCAAACUAAUUAUUUAUAUAAUAAAAUAAAGUGUCGAUUGCUUUAUAUUUAUAACACAAUUAGGGGUCGUUUGGUAGAGUGUAUUGACAAAAAUAAUGCAUGUAUUAAUUAAUAUGUAUUAUGAAUACCUUAUUUGGUACAAUUUUUAGUCAAUAUAUAACUAAUACAAACAUUAGUUAUACACUCUAUUGUGUAUUAAGGUGUGUAUUACUAAUACCGCCCAUUUUCAUUUUCUAUGUAUUAGUAAUGCAAAGUCUUUAAUACAUGCAUUAACUUGUUAAAUGACCUUAAUAUCCCUCAAUUUCUCUCUCAAAAUAUUUCACCAUUUCUUUUUCGGCCAUUUUAAUUUGCAAUAGUGAAUCUUUUCAAAACAUUUCACANNNNNNNNNNNNNNNNNNNNNNNNNNNNNNNNNNNNNNNNNNNNNNNNNNNNNNNNNNNNNNNNNNNNNNNNNNNNNNNNNNNNNNNNNNNNNNNNNNNNNNNNNNNNNNNNNNNNNNNNNNNNNNNNNNNNNNNNNNNNNNNNNNNNNNNNNNNNNNNNNNNNNNNNNNNNNNNNNNNNNNNNNNNNNNNNNNNNNNNNNNNNNNNNNNNNNNNNNNNNNNACUUUUUUAUAGAAAUUAUGUAAGAUGUAUUAUUUCUUAUACAUCAAACCAAAUAACGUAUAAGAAAUAAUACAUGUAUAACUAAUACAAGCAUAGGUAAUAUAAUCAUUACUAAUGUAAGGAUUACCAAUACACUAUAUUUUGCAUUGAUCUUAUACACUCUACCAAACGACUCCUUAGUGGUUAUCCGUUUUAAUCUUUAUUAACAUUGUCAAGGAUUAGCCGAGAAAUUGAAACUUAUAUAUGAUUACAUUGAGAUGAUAUUAUGAUCAAAUUUUUAUUUGUGGCUAUAAUUAAGAUUGGUCACAAUAUUUAUGAAAGACUCGGGUUUGAGUUCUAAUGCACUGGUUGAGGAUAAGAGGAUGGAUGUAAGUUUAAUCGAACUCACAAAAGAGUAAGACAUUGGGUUAGAGUCCCGAUGCACUAUGAUAAUAAAAUAUUAGUUUUAAGUCUCAUCGAUUUAUGUCUAAGACGCCUUUAUAUGGACAAGACAUUGAGUUUGAAUCUCAAUGUACCAUAUUGAUGAUAUAAUGAUGGUUAAGGUAAACCAAUAUGUUUUUGGUGAAAGACAUGAAAUUUGUCUCAUUGAAUGUGCUUCAUUCUCCGAAGUGAAUGUGCUAGCAAUUCACAAUAUGUAUGCCUCGAUUUGCUCUUGUAGUAGCAAUAUCGUGAGGUUAUAAGCUAGUAGUAGCAAUAUCGUGAGGUUAUAAGUUAUCAAAAUUUGAUAGGCUUAAGACACGAUUAUAUUUCAUUCCUGGAAAAUGAUAAGCUUAUUAACGCAAACGCGCACUUGAUUGUGAUGAUAUCACAAUUCACCUCCAAAAGAGGCUGAAUAAUUUUGAAAUCUAUUUCUGAAAUAGUAAAUCUGAUAUUUACUAAAGUAAAAGGUACAUGUUAUGAUAAACUUAGAGUUUGCUAGAAUAAAAAUUCAUAAAUUGACAUGAACAAUUGUGACAUCCCAAAGAUAUGCAUAGUGAGUAUUGUAUAUUGAAGAACUAGAAAAUUCUUCAUGAACUUUUGAUUUUGCUUGUUCUCAUGAUAAGUUGGUUGGACCAACUCAUGUUGGGAUUUGAUCCCUCAAAAUCAAAAUAUAAAAGGUGAAUAUGGGCCCGUUCACCUAUCAUGUGAUAUGUUGAAAAGAUGCAUCAAUAUUGAUGAUCAUAUGUACAUUCAUUGUCAAUCUACGUUUGACAUUCAUAAAGUUGCUUGCUCAAUAAAAUUGAGUUAAGAGCAUAAUUUUCAGAUUGCGUAAUCAAGUCAAUUCAUCUUGAUGAUGAUAGUUUGACAUUGAAUGCCUUCGAUAAAUAGCUAACCAUUGCUAAUGAGAACAAAGCUUCAUGUGUUGGUUUGAAAUAUUAUAUACAAAAGUACUUGUAUACAUCAAACCAAUAAAUUAUGAUCAAUUUCCCUCAAAGUUGGUUCUGAGUUAGGAACCACUCGUUGUCCAUCUAAUAAUUUUGAUGUGCGGUAUAUGAUUAAUGAAUAUACCAUGAUGCACAAAGAUGAAUUCUUCAAAGAAGAUGGAGCAUGUAUGCUAGUUUUCCUAACAUAAGGGGGAGAUUAUAAGUAGCUAUGAAAUAUGUUAGGAAUUAUCAUCAGAUCCCCAUUCAAAAGAUAAUUCAAGUCAAAUGUCGGAAGCAUCUGUUGACUUAAAUUUAGUAUCAUAUUUAAGCUACAAGUGCUCUUAAAGACAAAGUCUAUGCAUGCGUGAAGCAUGAUAGACCAAUCGAUUCCAAAUGAAAUGAUCCUUGAAAAGAAUAUGGAACAAAUAAUCAUAAUAAGAAGACAAUGUGCCCUUAAAGAGCCUACGACAUAACACUUCGUGAAACCUUAUGAAAGGUUUAGGUACCUGAAAAUAAUGAAGUGAUGAGAUCUCAAAAUGUUAUGUCGCAUUGUAAAUCGAUAUAAAAUGAGAAAUCGUCGAUAUCUUUGAUACAAUAUUGAUGCAAUAUUGGAAAAGACUACGAGGAUCUGAAUUCUAUGUUUAUUUAAGCAUGCUGACGUAGAAACAUUUAUCAAGUGACAUGAAAUGAUGUAUCUCGAUAAAUAUAACACUUAUUUGAUUUGCAGUCCAGACACUUGAAGAUGUCACACAUAUUGAUAUUGUCACUUAACAAAAAUCCAUAUGAAAAUCUCUAAAGGAUUCAAAAUACCUGAAGUAUAUUAAGUUUCUGAGAAACUUAUUUAUUAUUUUUAUAAGGGAUAAAUUGAUGGUCUAAAUAUUGUUGAAACUCUUGGAGAAUUUUCAAAAGCAAUAGAAUAUUUGCUGAAAUUAGAAAUAUGAAGUACCAUAUCUUAGUGCCAUUGAUGCAAAACACUAAUGUAUCUUGCAAAUACUAUUAGGCAUAAUAUAGCCUUUUCAGUCAAUUUGUUAGCAAUGUAUAUUUCUUCCCCUACUAGGAGACAUCAAAAUGGGAUAAAAGACAUGAGCUUAUUUUAUUCUAAAGAUUGAAGUCCCGAUCUUAUUAGUCAUGCUAAUGUUGGGUACUUAUUUGACCUGCAUAAAUUUUGGUCUCAAACAUGCAAUGUGUUCACAUGUGAGAACACUGUCAUAUCUUGGAGACAUGCAAAGCACUCUAUCUAGUCACUUCAUUGAACUAUGAUGAUAUAAUAGCUAUUAAUAAAGCUAGCCGAGAAUGUGUAUGAUUGAGAUCCAUCAUACAUGCCAUUCGAGAAAGUUAUGAUUUGAAAUAUGAAAAUGUACCCACUGUCUUAUACAGAGAUAAUGCAGUAUGCAUAACACAUCUUAAUGGAGGAUUCAUAAAAGGAGAUACAACGAAGCAUAUUUCGCCAAAUCUCUUUUAUACAUAUGAGCUCUAAAAGAAUGGUGAUGUUGAUGUACAACAGAUUCAUUCAAGUGACAACGUGGCUAAUUUAUUUACCAAGCCUCUUCCAAUUGCAACUUUCAAGAAGAUGGUGCGCAAGAUCAGAAUGCAAAGGUUUAAGGAUGUUCUUAUUAGGGGGAGCUAAUACGCGCUGUACUCUUUUUCCCUUACGAGGUUUUGUCCCACUGAGUUUUUCUUGUAAGGGUUUUAAUGAGGCGACCUAUAUGCAUAUUGUUAGAUAUGUGUACUCUUUUUACUUCACUAAAUUUUUUUUCCUAUUGGAUUUUUUCUAGUAAGGUUUAACGAGGCACAUUAUCUAUCAAUUAGACAUUGAAGGGGGAGUGUUAUAAAUACAUUUACAUUAUAGUGAAUAUCUAUAUAGAUAAGAUCUAAUAAGAUCUAUCAAGAUCUAAUUGAUAUCUAUCAGGAUUUGAAGUAUCUGUCUUUUAGUCAGAAACUGGGAGUAAAUUUUUCCUAUAAAUAGAAUGACUUCCUUCAUUGUAAAUCAUCCUCAAGGAUGUCAAUAGAAUCCUUCAGAGAAAUAAGAAUUACUCUCUAUAUUCUCUCUACUCUUCUUCUUGUUCUUUAUUUUGUAUUUCAUAAUAGAAAUAACUUUUAAGUACUUUUAUUAUGUUUGGAUAAGAUUAAAAAAGUCCUUUUAAACAAUUAUUUUUAAGUCAAAAUAACAAAAACAAGCUAAAAGUCAUGUCACUAUUUAUAAGUAUUACUCUCUCCAUUUCAAAAAAAUGAUAUAUUUUAACUUGAGACGAAAAUUAAAAAAUAAAGAAAACUUUUAUUGUGUUUGAAUAAGAUUAAAAGAAAAAUGCUUUUAAACAAUUAUUUUCAAGCCAAAAUAAUAAAAUCAAGCUAAAAGCCAUAAGUUAUGACUUAUAAUUCUCUUCGUUUAAAAAAGAAUGACAUAUUUUAACUUGACACGAAUUUUAGAAGAAUAAAGAAGAUUUUUGAAUCUUGUAGUCUUAAAUUAAAGAUGUGUUAAGUGUACUAAAUGACCUUUAAUUCUGUGGUCUUAAACAUAUCAUCUGAAAAAUUGAAAUUAAAGAGUUGCUAAAAAAGAAAAAGGAUCAUUUUUUAAGCGACUUGAAAAAGAAAAGUAAGUCAUUCUUAAUUUUUAGGGCAAACAACAUAAAUUCCAACAGUUUGGAGUUAAUUAUAUAAAAUCCCACAUUUUGCAUAAUUACUGAAAAUCUCAAUUUUGGGUCUGUCGAGAUACAUAAUUAGCUCCUGAUACAUCCAAGGAAGAUACAUUUUUUCCUUUGUAAAGAUACAUAAUUAGCUCUCGAUAUUUUUUUUUUCGAUUUUGGGUCUGUCGAGAUACAUAAUACAUCCAACAAAAAUAUAUUUUUUUUGUAAAGAUACAUAAUUAGUUUCAGAUAUAUUUUUUCUGAUUUUGGGUCUGUCGAGAAACAUAAUUAGCCCCCGAAUACAUUCAAUGCUGAUACAUAAUUAGUUGAAAUUUAUAAUUACUUUACAAGGAUAGAGAUUUGUAUAAAUAUGGUAAGUUAAGAUGUAUGUUUAUGUUAUUUUUUCUAGUUUUUUUCGAGUAAGAGGUAAAGCCCAAGGUUUUUGAACAUAAGAACAUAAUUUGUUUUACAUAAUAAAUUUGUAAACAUUUAAAUUCGUUAGAAGUCAUCAAAAUCACCUUAAACUAUAUUCUAAAAGUCGAAUACACACUUAAACUAUUGAAAUGACCUCAUACACACCUUUACAAUCAAAAAGUGAAUUUAAUUCCACCCUACAAGCUGAUGUGGCAUAAAAAAUAAAGAUAAAGAAAAAUAGGCGUGUUUAUUACAAUUUGUUCCUUUUAUUUUAUUAUUUUCACACCUCUUUUACCUUUUUUAAUUCUUUCUUUACUCUAUCUUCAUCACUUCCCUUUCUUUUUUCUUAAUAGUACCCAACAACACCAUUUUCACCAUAGACUACAAACCUAACAUAUCUUUAGAGAAAAUUUAACUUAUCUCUGCCCCAUUUCUCUCAAUAUCAUAACAAACCUUCAUAUAUAUAUAUAUCUUACAAACCUUCAGAUUUUAUUUUUAUUCUUUCUUUUCACGAAUUUUUUUUUAUACCUACUUUAUUAAAAGAAAUCAUUACAAGUUAAAUAUAAACAAUUACAAGAAAUAAAAACUUUUUGAUGAGGAAGCAAUAUCCAUCUCAUCGGACAAAUAUAAAUUUUUCAUUAUUCUUUAUCGAGGAUUCUUUUUGGUAAACUCAAUGUGGUAUUCAUUUAUCCCACGUAUUUAAUCUUUUUCUUCUUCCUUUUUCUGCUAAAAUCUCAUAAAUUAGCGUUUAAAUUAAAGAUAACUAUUAUAUUAUCGAUAAAUUUAAAAUUUUCACCAACUUACUAAUUGAUUUAUUAAUCUAGUUUCUCCCAAUCUAUAAAACUCUAAGAAAAAAAUCAUCAAUAAAAUUAAAAGUAAAGAGAAUGAGGUUUUAAAGAAAAGUAACUGUGUAGAUAUUAAUGACGGAUUUGUUAGUGGUGGGUGACGAACAAGAAAAACACGAUAAUGAUAAUGGUAGUGAAUUGCAAAGAAGAAGAAGAAGAAAUUGAAGUUGUGUGAUGGUGGAUUUGCUAUUGGUAGUGAGGAGAAAAAUAAGCGGUGAUGAUGAUGGCCGGUUAACAGCGUAUAUGGUGUUUCCGAUGAGAUGAGAGAUGGAGAGGGUGGGAUGGUUUAUUGAUGAAGAAGAUAUAAUUAUUUGAGGAUUUUAAUGGUUAAUUAGGAAUUAAUAAGGGCAAAAUAUAGCUAAUAAAAGAAAAAAAGAAAAAAAUGAAAAAAAUAAAAUUUAUAAAAUUUCUGACAUGAAGCUGACGUGGUGCUAAAGUGACAGGCGAGUAUAAUGUACCUUCCAUUAUGUGACUGAUUGAAUAUGCAUCGGGGUAGAGUUAAAUUCACUUUUCAAUAGUGCAGGUAUUUAUUAGGUCACUUCACUAGUUUAAGUAUCAAUUCAACUUUUUGAAUAUAAAUUAAAGUGAUUUUGAUGACUCUUUCCAUUAAAUUCCCUUUUUAUAAAAGGUAUGGGAUUGCCAUAUGGCUAUUUGACUUUAGACGUGAUAUUUCAUGUGAGGUAGCACAAUAUAAAAUGUAGAGCAUUUAUUUAUUACACGAUUUAUUUUUAUUUAUUUAUUUAUAUUAUUUUUCAUUUUAGUCCGUAUAGAAAACAUCCUUUUUUCUUAUUUAACAAUUCUUUAUUUUGAACAUUUCACAUUACAUGUUUAAAACCACAAAAUUAAAGAAUUUUUUCAUAUAUUAUACACAUAAUUUAAAAUUUACAAGAUUUAAUUAUUUUUUUUUCUAAAAUUUCAAACUCAGUCAAAUUAAAAUAAACAAAUGAAAUAAGUAUUGGAAAGUGGUACUUGAUUAGUGAUAAUAUCGAUGAGAUCUGGAUUAGCUUUUGAAUAAAAUAUAAUUCACGUCGAUUUUUUUUAAUUGUUAUUCAAGACAGCUAAUAGUCACAUUAUUCCAAUGCGAAAUGUAUUGGUAAGCAAUUACAAAAAAAAAAUAUAUAAUCUAAAUUUACUAAUAGUCAUAUGUAGUAGUGUGCAAGUCAUAAUAUUAUUUUUUAAACCUUAAUGUCUUGCAUAUUGGUUGAUUAAGCAGUUUAUUUAUCAUUUUAAAAUUCCCGUUUUCAAUGGGGGUUGGCAUUAUGGUUUUUGAGUGAUAUUGAUAUUUUAAAAAUGAACAAAUUAUAAUAAUAAUAAUAUCAUAUAUUAAAAAGAAGCACACAUUUCAUUGAGUUUAACUUACCAAAAAAAAAAACAGCAUUAGUUUGGAUGGUUGUUGGAUAUUAUUUCAUAACAAUGUAUUAUAUUGUGUUAUAUUGCAUUGUAGUGUUCUUGUUGACAAAUAUUAUUGUUGGAUAAAUUGUGACAUUUCUCAUUAUUAUAUAAUGUAACAAUGAAAUUACAAAUACAAAUAUAAAAUACUUCCUUAAAAAUACAAGUGUAUCAAUGAAAAUAAAAUGUAAAUAUAAAUAAAAUAAAAUCAUAAAAUACAAAUAAAAUAUGCAGUCAACUAUAUAGUAUAAAUAAAAAAAAAUUCUUUAAAUAUAAGUAAGAAUUAUAUAAAAUAUAAAUAAUAGUACGAACUAUAAAAUACAAAUAUAAUUAUAUCAAUGAAUAUAAUAAAAUAAUGGUGUGAAUACAAAUACAAUAAAAGAUUGUGGUAGUUUCAUUAUUAUUCAUGACUUGUGAUGGACAUAGUCAUAUUUCUCCAAACAUAGAAAAAAUAAUGUUAGACAUGAGCAAUUAGAAAGACAAAAUAUAAGAAAAGUAAGAUAAAAUAUAAAGUUAUCAUAAUUUUUUUUUGCUAAUAUUGGUCCAUUUUAUUCUUUUUAUUUUUUGGGUGACACAAUAAACAAGUGGUAAUUUUAAAAUUGGUUUCAUAACUGUUAUAAGUUGUCUACUUUUGCUAUGAUAAUGAUUUCAUAAAGUCAAAAACACAAAUUUUCCCAAAUCCCAUCAUCUCAAAAUGAAAAUUUCUUUAUCAUUUUUCCUAGUUACCUUCCUAUGCUUUAACCAUUUUUCAUUCAUUUCUUGUGAGAAGAAAGUUUCAUUGACUUUAUAUUAUGAAAGUUUAUGUCCUGGUUGUUCUAAUUUUAUUGUUAAUUACUUACCUAAGAUAUUCAAGAAUGGGAUAAUUGAUAUUGUUGAUCUUAAACUUGUUCCAUGGGGCAAUACAAA
Molecule: long non-coding RNA, 23554 nt
Filed under: Capsicum annuum
Lineage: Eukaryota; Viridiplantae; Streptophyta; Magnoliopsida; Solanales; Solanaceae
Description: long non-coding RNA (CANN_LNC010625)
Source: RNAcentral